GAGGGUAUAGCUUAGUGGUAGAGCGCAUGCUUAACAUGCACGAGGUCCUGGGUUCAAUCCCCGGUACCCCCU
RNAcentral lists this transfer RNA (72 nucleotides) under Camelus bactrianus (Bactrian camel). It matches the Rfam family "tRNA". Rfam says of the family: Transfer RNA (tRNA) molecules are approximately 80 nucleotides in length. Their secondary structure includes four short double-helical elements and three loops (D, anti-codon, and T loops). Lineage: Eukaryota; Metazoa; Chordata; Mammalia; Artiodactyla; Camelidae. The record is from Rfam by way of RNAcentral. RNAcentral also lists the same sequence under 2 other names.